This is a long non-coding RNA of Solanum pennellii, 1964 nucleotides long. RefSeq lists it as uncharacterized. The transcript has 2 exons. Lineage: Eukaryota; Viridiplantae; Streptophyta; Magnoliopsida; Solanales; Solanaceae. The record is from RefSeq and is a predicted model, not a curated record.
ACCCAAUACUUUUUUUCCCCAAAAAGAAGCCAUUCAACGCUGUUUCAACUUUCCAACAUCAAAAUCUCAGAAACUCACGGCGUAAAGCAACGACAACACGCGUAGCGACCACCAAACCUCCAUAUUCUUGGACGCGCCUCGUCACUGUCACGCGGCGUCAACUUCGACGGCGAUAGACGGAAAAGUAGCGAGGGGGCAGAAGCCUAUGCGCUCAAUUUUGUCUUCUUCCUCCGCGUUCUUCUCUGUUUCGUACGAUUUCCAGCAGCGUACAGCCUUCGAAUCGUCCUUCAUCCUCCAGGUGUCGCAAUCCCAAGCCGCCUUUGUCCUUGCCUCGAGAUUGAACGGUUCCCCUGUUUUUCCUGUUGCAUUUGUGAGAAUAGAUGAAUUCGUACGGUAGGCUCUUAUCUAUUAAGAGUACGGUAGGCUCUUAUCAAUUAAGAGUUUGACUUUUGAAAGGGAAUGGAGAUUUUUUCAUUUUUUCCCUCCGCUUUUCCCCUCAUAUUCAACCCUGAUUUUCUAGUAUAUAAUAUCCUUUUAUUUACCGUCAAGGGGGUCUUUUUUUUGGUAUUCUGGAAUUCUUAGAGAAAAAGUGCAGAAAAAUAGAGAACAAUAUUAAUAUUUUCGUUAAGGAAUACAGUAAGAUUUCGAAGCGGGGGAUGGUUUUGGAGUUGAUUUCCGUGAGAUAUUAGCUUAAGGAGUCCGAUUUUGGAGUCGACACGAGUAUUUCCGAUACUCUGCUUUCCCUAAGCUUGAAGAUCUAGAGCUUUUCUCUUGGUGUGAAGUCGUGGUAUAUUCCUCGCUCUCCGUCUCUGUUUGCUGCUUCGGAAUAGGGCAAAUUCCAUAUUUGGCGAUCUCAAGGUUGGAGCAUGUUCAUCCGUUCUUUUCCGGCGUUUGAACUAGUUUGACCUUAGUCUUGUACAGGCUCCGGAGUUUGAAGAAUUGAAGAGCAAGAGAUUGGGCCUUGAAAGCCCAAAUUUUAUUUUCAGAAAUUUGUAUUCCGUUGUUGUAGGGCCUAAUCCCAUGUAAUUAUUUUAGGGAAAAUUAGCAAACUAGUCAAAAUUAAUAACUUAAUUAGUAAAAACUUUACUACUUUAAAAAUAUUAGUAAAAAUGUCACAAAUGUCAUUAUUUUGAAAAAGAAUAUGUAUCCUAAUUAAAUUCUAUUUUAUCUCUUAUUACCUACACAUUUUCCAAUUAAUUAUAUAUAUAUAUAUAUAAAUUAUUUUACUUAACCUUUCCAUGUAUAUCUCAUAGAUCACUUUUCCCAACUAUCCCAUUCACGUUUCCCCGUAACUCUCUCUUCCAAAUUUAUCUUAAUGUAAAAAAAAAGAAGUUUUAUCUCUUCCAUAUCCUCCUUUCAUGUUCUCUUCAAACCUUGAAAUCCCUAUUUUAUCUUCUACCAAUAUUUAUCUUAUCUUCUAUCGUUUUAUUUGUUUGUUUUUAAUUUUCAAAUACUGGAUUCACACAAAUUCCACUAAUCUUUUUUUUUCCUGAUUUUAUUGCUUCUAAAUCAUUCAUAUUUGGUGAAAGUUGGAUAAUUCACAAUUAGACCUCUAAAACACUCUUCAAUGGAUUAUUCUAAGAGAGUUACUAGAGAUAUUCACCUUAAUCAUCAGAUUUCUAGUAAUUUUCCAUCUUUUAAUCUAUGUAUUACUAAAGAAAUAGCGGAUCUGCUUCUAAAAUGAUGAAGGAGAGACGAUCAGAACAAAGUCUUCCUCAAAUUCAGAUUGAAACCGUAAUAGUUGAUGAAGAGGUAUUUAAUUAUUUUUGCAUGUUGAGUUGAAGUUAAAGAACAAUUUGUUCAAUAAUUUGUAUUGAAUAUAUUGUAAAUGUCUUAUGUAUAAUGUGUAAUAUUUGUUAGUUUGUAUUUUGUAUUUCCGUUGCUUUUUAAUGAAUUUUAAUUGGAUUGUUUGUAUUUACUGUGCUGUAUUUCUUGGAUUUGUGUUGUAUGCUAUAUAAUUUUCG